AGCUUUGCGCAGUGGCAGUAUCAUAGCCAAUGAGGUCAAACCGAGGCGUGAUUAUUGCUAAUUGAAAACUUUUCCCAAUACCCGCCGUGAUGACUUGAAAUAUAGUCAGCACUGGCAAUUUUUGACAGUCUCUCAGGAGA
This is a small nuclear RNA of Xenopus tropicalis (tropical clawed frog), 140 nucleotides long. Its record names the gene U4. It matches the Rfam family "U4 spliceosomal RNA". Rfam says of the family: U4 small nuclear RNA (U4 snRNA) is a component of the major U2-dependent spliceosome. The record is from Ensembl. NCBI's taxonomy places the organism in Eukaryota, Metazoa, Chordata, Amphibia, Anura, Pipidae.